AAUUAAUUUGCAGGUAUGGAUCCGAGUAACAACAGUCCUUCAUUCUUAAAGCUGAUUGAGGACGAUGAUCCUAUUUUUUUGUUAUUGACAUGAAUUUUUCCUCCAAUAAAGCAUGAUAUUGGGUGCCAAAUAAUAUAUGAGUAGAGCAUAGAGCAACACAGCGAGACAGAUAUCUCGAGGCUGAGAGAUUUGGGCAUUGAGAGAAAAUAAAGGUUUGAAAUUUGUGAUUUUCUGUUGGUGCAGUUGUCUGUCGACUACAUCUUCGUUCGAGUCUUAGGGUAGGGCUGAGUAUAUAGUGAUCGGAAAACGAGAAAACUUGUUUUAGAUAGGAUCGCUUAUAGGGUAGAUGAGUUGGACCGCUCGAAUGACAUAACAUCUGGAUCGCUCGAGUGACUUGUUGUUGGACCGCUUGAGUGGCAGAUGUUUGGAUCGCUCAUAUGGACUUGUCCAUAUGAGCGGCCCAUGAUUCCUAUAUAUAGAUGAUCAUAUGAGCGGUUCCAGUAGUCCAUAUAUGUGUAUGUAAAGGCGAAGCCCUGUCCGAUUGUCUCCAAAACUUGUAAUUUGACAUAUAUUCAAUACAGGAGACGUUAAGUAGUGAAAUCAAGCUUUACGAAGACUUACUCAAUGAAUUCCGCCUCUGAAUUAGUCUAAGUACUCUUCUGAACGACUCGUCAGGUUAGAAAACGAUCCUACAAGUGGUAUCAGAGCUCAGGAGGAAGAGUUCUUGCCGUUUAGCUCGAUUUUUGCUCGAAAUUCUCACUCCUACACCUUCUUUUUCUGAUUCGAAGAGAUUUCACGGUCGAAAUUCGAAGUUUCAAACCCUGGAAAGUUUCAGAUCAAAAUUCGAAGUUUAAGUGGGUCAAAGUUGGAUUUGAAAUUGUGGACCGCUCGAUCGAACUGUUCUUGGACCGCUCAUCCGGACGGAUCUUGAACCGCUUAUUCGGUCAGAUUGAUCUUGGAUCGCUCCAAAUUAACUUUGAUGAACCGUUUAUUCGGACCACCUUGAAUCGCUCGAACAGAUCUUAUCUGGACCGCUUAUCUGAAAUUGUCUGGAUCGCUCAUUGAUACAAGACUGUCUGAAUCGCUCGAACGAGUAUUGUUUGAACCGCUCAUUUACACAUUGUCCUGGUCCGCUUAUUCGACAAAUUUAAUUGGACCGCUUAUUUGAACUGCUUUGGACCGUUCAUCUGAUCAAUAGUUGGUUCACUUAUUAGUCAAUUAGCACGUGUUGGAUUUGCGUAAAAAUGACAAUGAGUUUUGAUGUGCAGGAAAACAAUGAUCUUGAGAGAAUGAAUAGUUGGUAUCGAGGAUAUCUUAGUAGUUCUUAUCAGAAAAUAGAAAUUUGGUAUGAACGUUUCAAAGGCUUUUUGAGUAAGAAAGAUGAAAAAUUGGAUGAUUUGGAGAGACGUUUUGAUCGUUUGAUAGACUAUUUGAAGGAAAAUCAAAUAGUGAUAUCAGAAUCUGAGUUGGUAUCAAAGUUCGCUAAUGGUUUAUCAGUUGAAUGGGAUGAUUUUUUGAAAAAUUUGAAAGAAAAUUCUAAUUUUUCAAAAUUAACUAUGAAUGAAUUCAUCGGCGAACUUAAAAAUCACGAUUAUGAAAACUAUCAAAAGAAGAGAGAAAUAUUGGAUAAGAUAAAAAUAAAUUUGGAAGAUUUGAGUUUAAAAGUGAUCAAAGAAAUAAAUAAAAAAAUCAAUGUUUGUUUGAAAACAAAAAGAAAUUCGGUGUAUGAUAUGAAAAGAGGAUGUUAUAUUGAUGAUAAUAGAAAUCCUCUUGAUCUUGUUACAAUCUUUGGUGCAGGAACAUAUAAGAUAGAGAAAGAACAAGUGCCGAAGGUUGAAGAAUCUGUGAAGAAUGAAACUUCAUGUUCUGAAACAGUAUGCUUCGAAUGUGACCGCUUCAAGACUGAAAAUGACAAACUCUUGAAGGAUGCGGAAAGUUUGACAUCUGAAGUCAAGAAGCUAGAAGAUGUGAAGCAAGCUGAUACUAAACAGAUUCUUAUGUUACAAGAAGAUUGU
RNAcentral lists this long non-coding RNA (2015 nucleotides) under Helianthus annuus (common sunflower). RNAcentral describes it as "hypothetical non coding rna". Lineage: Eukaryota; Viridiplantae; Streptophyta; Magnoliopsida; Asterales; Asteraceae. The record is from RNAcentral.